UCUUCCUUGUGUCCUACAGGCCUGCAGCCGGGAGUACAAGUCCAAUUUCCACCUCAGUUUCCUGCUGCUCCUGUAGAAGGUAUUGGAGGUGACAAUAGGACAACACGUCAUCUACAGCUCUGAGGUUUUUAUCCUUCAUUUGAGCAUCACUGUAACAGAGGUGCCAAGACAAUACCUGCACUUUGCUCACAGGACAAUUUUGCUCUACGUGCCUAGAUUCUGCUCGAAGUACUUUUCAUGAGUACUCUGUCCUUUAAAAAAAAAAAAAUUACAAAAAUACUUCAAAAAAAAUUAGUUCUGUCUUCAGUCGACUAUAUAGG
Calidris pugnax (ruff) is the source of this 320-nucleotide long non-coding RNA. RefSeq lists it as uncharacterized. The transcript is spliced from 2 exons. NCBI's taxonomy places the organism in Eukaryota, Metazoa, Chordata, Aves, Charadriiformes, Scolopacidae. The record is from RefSeq and is a predicted model, not a curated record.